AAUCGACUAUAACAUAGCAAGAAGAUAAUCAAUCCAUUCCCAUCAGCAUGUCAAAGUCAAUCAUAUCAAGUGCAAUAAGGUCAGCUAGAGUAUCUCUACCCCCAACCCGAAUCUGACAAGCACGAUACACAUAUUCAGCUAAUAGAGACUCUCCGACAGGAGUAGCAACUAGAAACGGUUCAUUCAGCAACUAGCAAAGUACGAGGACACAUAGGAGUGAGUAGAUCCCGGAUCAAUCAACGCAAGUGCAUCAAAUCAAUAGCUCGGGCUGUCUACUAAAUCUCAAAGCAAAGUACGAGGACACAUAGGAGUGGGUAGAUCCCGGACCAAUCAACGCAAGUGCAUCAAAUGAACAGACAGAAAGAAUACCUGUAACCACUGCAUUCGAGGCCUGAGCGUCCUAUCUAGUAAAUGCAAAACUCUUGCCUGACCUCUACCAGCAUUGCCUUGUCCUUGAUUCACAGUAGCACGGUCUCCAACACUUUGACCUCUAUUUCCUGUACCUGUAGCACCUAAAGUUUUACGAGUUGUCUGAGUCAGUUCAGCUGACUGAAUAGAAGCCUGGUUGAAAUUUCUCGGAGGUUAAGGGCAAUCCCUCAAAUGAUGUCCCAAUUGGCCACAUCGAAAUCACUCUCCAGUUAGAACACGACAUUGGCCCAUGUGUGAUCUACCACAAGUCUGGCAGACUGGAGUAGUGGCAUAUAUCUUCGCAUAAUUACGAUGUCCAGAAGAUGAUGGUCACGUAUUACACUGUCUCUAAGGUGGUCUAUAUGUGGACUGUGAAGACAUGUGUGUCCCUAUCUGGGAACCCUGUUGUUGUUGUUGUCCCUGGUUUCCUGCUCUUCUAUUUUCACUAAAACCGCCAUUGAAAGCCCGUCAUGUCUUGGCCUUCUUAUGUAAUUCACUAGCUGCACGCUCUUCACGUCCCUUAUUUUCAAUCUUUCUAGCAAGGUCAACUACAUCAGAGUAGGAUAAAGUCUUCAUCAGCGGGGCUACUGCAGUGCAUAGACGACCAACCAAUCCAUAAACAAGCCUCUGAAUUCGAGCUUCUUCGGUAGGCACUAAGUGAGGAGCAUAUAUAGCCAGCUUACAAAACUUAGUGUUAUAUGCUGACACAUCCAUAUCUGGAGUCUGGAAAAUUCUCUCAAAGUCCCUAGCAUAUUGUAGCAUCAGACUGUCUGGAAGAAAAUGAUUCUUGAACAACUUGUACAUCCAUAUCUAGAGUCUGAACCAAUCUCUCAAAGUCUCUAGCAUGUUGUUGUAUUAGACUGUCUGGAAGAGAAUGAUUCUUGAAUAACUUAGUGAACUCGUCCUAUGUCAGUGGUGGUGCUCCUUCCAGUCUUCCUAACAAUACAGUUUCAUACCAUGUGUUGGCUAUAUCCUCUAGUUUGAAUGAUAUGAGCUCCACGGCUCGCUCACUAGAACAUCCAAGAGCACGUAAUGCCUCAAGUGUCCCAUCCAAGAAACUUUGAGGAUCUGUUGAAUUAUCAAAACCUGUGAAUUUUGGUGAUUUCAAUUUCAGGAACUCGUGUAGGGAUACUUCCUUAUUUUCG
RNAcentral lists this long non-coding RNA (1553 nucleotides) under Nicotiana benthamiana. Its description in RNAcentral is "long non-coding RNA (NBEN_LNC026931)". Lineage: Eukaryota; Viridiplantae; Streptophyta; Magnoliopsida; Solanales; Solanaceae. The record is from RNAcentral.